GGACAUUUGACACAGUGGCGUUUGGCAAAGCAGAAAAAGAACACUCAAAAAACCCGACAAUAUUAAUCUGAACGAGAGAGAUGAGUUAUUGUUAUCACAACAAUGCUCGGACCUAUUUUGUUCACAUUAUAUAUGCUUCCGUUAGGCAAUAUCAUAAG
Molecule: long non-coding RNA, 158 nt
Organism: Gymnodraco acuticeps
Lineage: Eukaryota; Metazoa; Chordata; Actinopteri; Perciformes; Bathydraconidae
Exons: 3
Source: RefSeq, a predicted model, not a curated record